GACAUGCAGAGAACUUUCCAGAGAUGGAUUGGUGCCUUCGGGAACUCUGACACAGGUGCUGCAUGGCUGUCGUCAGCUCGUGUCGUGGGAUGUUGGGUUAAGUCCGUAACGAGCGCAACCCUUGUCCUUAGUUACCAGCACGUUAUGGUGGGCACUCUAAGGAGACUGCCGGUGACAAACCGGAGGAAGGUGGGGAUGACGUCAAGUCAUCAUGGCCCUUACGGCCUGGGCUACACACGUGCUACAAUGGUCGGUACAAAGGGUUGCCAAGCCGCGAGGUGGAGCUAAUCCCAUAAAACCGAUCGUAGUCCGGAUCGCAGUCUGCAACUCGACUGCGUGAAGUCGGAAUCGCUAGUAAUCGUGAAUCAGAAUGUCACGGUGAAUACGUUCCCGGGCCUU
This 399-nucleotide ribosomal RNA is filed under the name uncultured Pseudomonas sp. RNAcentral describes it as "bacterial SSU rRNA". It matches the Rfam family "Bacterial small subunit ribosomal RNA", at positions 983 to 1382 of the family's 1533-position model. The record is from RNAcentral. Lineage: Bacteria; Pseudomonadati; Pseudomonadota; Gammaproteobacteria; Pseudomonadales; Pseudomonadaceae.